This is a long non-coding RNA of Dreissena polymorpha, 996 nucleotides long. RefSeq lists it as uncharacterized. Lineage: Eukaryota; Metazoa; Mollusca; Bivalvia; Myida; Dreissenidae. The transcript has 2 exons. The record is from RefSeq and is a predicted model, not a curated record.
AUAGCAUUGUUUUUUAGGUUUCACUGUACAUUUUCAUACCAAUAGAAUUACACAUCAUUCUAAUUAUAGCAAUAAUAAAUUUGUACUAAUCAUACCUACAAAUUUUGUUAUGCUAUGCUUUGUGAUGUAUUAACUUCAUUGUAAGUUAUUAUUUAAAGACAAUUUUACUAAAUAUUUAAAACAAUACUUGAAUUAUUUUCUAUAUACAUUUUCAUUAUGUGCUUUAACUGUAGCUGACCAGUUGAUGGAAGAUACUGCAGAGUUUGGCAGGGAAAUAACCCAAGACAGCAAAGCGGCUCUUUUGGCGCAUUUACCAAGAGGACUAACAUGGCCACAAAUUCAUGAGAUCAUGCAGGAGCCGUACAGUAUAACAGCAGUACAAGUUCUAUAAAAGAUCCACGACCUACUGAAGCCCAGCUAAUUAACAAAAAAGUUUUUAAAAACUGUAAUUUUAUCCCACCUGGGUACUUAUAAUUUACUAACUGUCACUUGGAAAGUAAUACAUGUACAUGCAUUCAUGUUCUGAAUUUCUUUGAACAAUAAAAUUAUAUAAAAGUAUUUUAAUGAAAUUGAGCACCUAAAUUGCAUUAAAGUGAAAGUAGCUGAGAAAAAUAGUAUCCUUAAUUGUUCUCAUGGGCAGCUACAUAUAUUGUGACAAACAUGAAGUAGCUAAAAUAACUUAAAUUUUUCAUUUUGUUUCUUGUAUAUCGUUUGUACAGGGUUCGUGAAUUGUUACUGUAUAUUACUUGACUUGCUUGUAUUUUGUUACUUUGAAUACAUGUUGUUAAGGUUGCAUUAUACUUUUUAACUUUUAAAGUAGCGCCUGUUCUGUUAUGUAAGGGCCUGAUUUAUGAUAAUGGACCUAGAGGCUUUGUAAGCAUGUAUUAAACAACACUUGUUUGAUCUGAAUAAUUUGUUAAAUAAAUGUAACACAAUUUGUAAUCUGAUGUUAUAUUUUGAUGAAUUGUGAACAAAAUAAUACAUCGAAGAAACUAA